GCUAAAAGAACUCAACCUGACAUUGGCCUAGAAAGUUGCUGUGAGCAUGGACCCUUAAACAUUCACUGACUUUCUCUGCAGACAUCUGAUUAUGAAGAUCAGCCCUGGAACGCACAUCUGGUGGUGCACACUGUUAAGCACAGGCAAAAACUGAACCUUCUAGUUGAUUCUCCCUCUGAGCUUUCCAGAGACACCCUUGAUUGGAACACUGUUCAGCCAUAUUUCCUAUUCGUGGGAGGGAAAUGGACCACGUACAGGAUGCUGCACGUCAGAGUGAAACAGAAAGACCUUCCCGAAGAAAGUAAGCAGACGUGUGAAUGUGGCAUUGUGGAUCCCAUAAAAUAGACCAACAAUGAUUGAAAGCAAGAAAAUGACUUGGUCUUCCUUAAAACUACAACAAUUAGGCAAUUGAGCUAAUAGGAUCUGAGAAGAUGUAAAUAAGUUGUUGUUUCUUUUAUUACCA
RNAcentral lists this long non-coding RNA (463 nucleotides) under Vulpes vulpes (red fox). Its description in RNAcentral is "lncRNA (ENSVVUG00000010265.1)". Lineage: Eukaryota; Metazoa; Chordata; Mammalia; Carnivora; Canidae. The record is from RNAcentral.